CAGAACACACAGGUGUUGAGGAAAAAACCAGACCUGAGUCCUUUAAAACUCACAAUUCUAGCCAAUGAAUUGAAAGAAUGUAGAAUCUACUGCAAUGAGUUUCAGUGUAUGAAGGAGUACUUGGAGGCCAUCUCUGUUCAGGAGCUCUGGGAAUUGGUUCUCAAAUGCUGGAUUGAAGACUACAGUUGGACUUUUCAACCCAAAAGGGCAAAUUCAGACACUGUGGCUUCAGGAGAAGGACUGGAUGGCUGGGUGGCCGACGCUCUGUGCUUACUGUGCCUGUCGCAUGGUGGCUUGGCUGAGGAUGAGCUACUCCAGCUUCUGGACAUGCUGGGCUACAGGAAUCAUUACAAAGUGACCACCUUGCACUGGGCUGCCUUCCGCAACGCCACCAAACAGUGGGUCCAGGAGAAGCCCAAUGGCCUUCUGUAUUUCUGGCACAGUCCCUGCGAAGUGCAGUGGAGCACAAGCUUCUUG
This 477-nucleotide small RNA is filed under the name Pongo abelii (Sumatran orangutan). Its description in RNAcentral is "processed transcript". The record is from RNAcentral. Lineage: Eukaryota; Metazoa; Chordata; Mammalia; Primates; Hominidae.